This 120-nucleotide small nuclear RNA is filed under the name Echeneis naucrates (live sharksucker). RNAcentral describes it as "U1 spliceosomal RNA (ENSENLG00000009590.1)". It matches the Rfam family "U1 spliceosomal RNA". Rfam says of the family: U1 is a small nuclear RNA (snRNA) component of the spliceosome (involved in pre-mRNA splicing). Its 5' end forms complementary base pairs with the 5' splice junction, thus defining the 5' donor site of an intron. There are significant differences in sequence and secondary structure between metazoan and yeast U1 snRNAs, the latter being much longer (568 nucleotides as compared to 164 nucleotides in human). Lineage: Eukaryota; Metazoa; Chordata; Actinopteri; Carangiformes; Echeneidae. The record is from RNAcentral.
AUACUUACCUGGCAGAGGAGACACCGUGAUCAGGGAGCUGCUUCACCCUGGCUGUGAUGGACUGCAUCAUUUCUGGAAGUGGGGGGGGGGGGGGGGGGACUGUGUUCGAGCUCUCCCCUG